Molecule: transfer RNA, 64 nt
Filed under: Palaemon capensis
Lineage: Eukaryota; Metazoa; Arthropoda; Malacostraca; Decapoda; Palaemonidae
Description: tRNA-Phe
Rfam family: tRNA
About the family: Transfer RNA (tRNA) molecules are approximately 80 nucleotides in length. Their secondary structure includes four short double-helical elements and three loops (D, anti-codon, and T loops).
Source: RNAcentral
ACUUAAAUAGCUUAAGAAAAGUGUUACAUUGAAGCUGUAAAGAUGACAUUUCUGUCUUUGGGUG